This 547-nucleotide ribosomal RNA is filed under the name Rhodotorula sp. GY23L16. RNAcentral's name for it is "eukaryotic LSU rRNA". It matches the Rfam family "Eukaryotic large subunit ribosomal RNA", at positions 89 to 650 of the family's 3401-position model. Lineage: Eukaryota; Fungi; Basidiomycota; Microbotryomycetes; Sporidiobolales; Sporidiobolaceae. The record is from RNAcentral.
GCGAGUGAAGCGGGAAGAGCUCAAAUUUGUAAUCUGGCACUUUCAGUGUCCGAGUUGUAAUCUCGAGAAGUGUUUUCCGCGCUGGACCGCAUACAAGUCUGUUGGAAUACAGCGUCAUAGUGGUGAGAACCCCGUAACUGAUGCGGAUGCCCAGUGCUUUGUGAUACACUUUCGAAGAGUCGAGUUGUUUGGGAAUGCAGCUCAAAAUGGGUGGUAAAUUCCAUCUAAAGCUAAAUAUUGGCGAGAGACCGAUAGCGAACAAGUACCGUGAGGGAAAGAUGAAAAGCACCUUGGAAAGGGAGUUAACAGUACGUGAAAUUGUUGGAAGGGAAACGCUUGAAGUCAGACUUGCUAUGUGGAUUUAUUCGCUUCGCAGGCCAGCAUCAGUUUCUGGGGGUGGAAAAGGGUUGGGAGAAUGUAGCAACUCCGGUUGUGUUAUAGCUCCUUUCUGGAUUCAUCUUUGGGGACUGAGGAACGCAGCGCGCUUUUUGCAAGGCUCUCGAGCUUUUCGCGCUUAGGAUGCUGGUGGAAUGGCUUUAAACGACCC